This 440-nucleotide ribosomal RNA is filed under the name uncultured bacterium. RNAcentral's name for it is "partial 16S ribosomal RNA". It matches the Rfam family "Bacterial small subunit ribosomal RNA", at positions 338 to 795 of the family's 1533-position model. The record is from RNAcentral.
CCUACGGGAGGCAGCAGUGGGGAAUAUUGCACAAUGGGGGAAACCCUGAUGCAGCGACGCCGCGUGAAGGAAGAAGUAUUUCGGUAUGUAAACUUCUAUCAGCCGGGAAGAAAAUGACGGUACCUGACUAAGAAGCCCCGGCUAACUACGUGCCAGCAGCCGCGGUAAUACGUAGGGGGCAAGCGUUAUCCGGAUUUACUGGGUGUAAUGGGAGCGUAGGCGGUUUAGCAAGUCAGAAGUGAAAGCCCGGGGCUCAACUCCGGGACUGCUUUUGAAACUGUUGAACUAGAGUGCAGGAGAGGGAAGUGGAAUUCCUAGUGUAGCGGUGAAAUGCGUAGAUAUUAGGAGGAACACCAGUGGCGAAGGCGGCUUACUGGACUGUAAAUGACGCUGAGGCUCGAAAGCGUGGGGAGCAAACAGGAUUAGAUACCCGAGUAGUC